UGAUAACUUUUGGCUUGCAGGGCGGAUGCCCUCGUAUUGCUCAACAUGGAUCCUGCCACCCAUUGCAUGUUAUUUCCGGCAUCAGACAGUUUGAAUGUUUUAUAUACCUCCUUAGCUGGGGGGGCUCAAGUGCUUAAGCUACUGAGAAAUCGUUCAUGCAGCUUUAACGCCAGGGGUACCUUUCCGAGACCCAACCACUACUGAGUACCAUUACAACUGUUCCAUUGAUGAAAGGGGCGGACUUACUACUAACUUAGGACACACACCCUGUCCAUGUAUUCCCCUUUUUCUCUUUCUUCGAGUGACUAACAGGUUUGUGUGCCAGAUUCCUACAAUAUGAUGCCAUAUAUCCUAUUGGAUAACCACUGCACGCCUGAAGGCGACGGCGAACCCCCGAAAGAGUCCACGGUGCGUGUUUAUCCCGCCACACAGUGAGAACUCCUCCUAUUAAUAGCUUCCGGUUCGCACAGAACUUUUCACGCCCAGAGGAGAGAAUCAAGCCGCAUGGAUGCUCCCCCCCACGCCGCCACACGACGCCACACGCUGCCACCAAGAUGUCAAGGACAUCCUCACAGUUACUAGCAUGAUCGACGGCUUAGUGCGGGGCCGCAGAGAUCAUUUUAUUUAGUUAUUUAUUUAUUUUAUGUUUUAAAUUUAUUUCGUUGUGUGCUUUAUCAACACACCGAAAAUCAUUUGGGGCUUUUUAUUAGAAGAUUCUUUUUCCUUGCUCAGUUAACGCUAUUUCUCUUUCUUUGCUGUGUAUUUAAUUGGUUCCUGCC
RNAcentral lists this small RNA (779 nucleotides) under Histoplasma capsulatum. RNAcentral's name for it is "hypothetical RNA". Lineage: Eukaryota; Fungi; Ascomycota; Eurotiomycetes; Onygenales; Ajellomycetaceae. RNAcentral also lists the same sequence under 1 other name. The record is from RNAcentral.